Molecule: ribosomal RNA, 253 nt
Filed under: uncultured bacterium
Lineage: Bacteria
Description: partial 16S ribosomal RNA
Rfam family: Bacterial small subunit ribosomal RNA
Source: RNAcentral
UACAGAGGGGGCAAGCGUUGUUCGGAAUUACUGGGCGUAAAGGGCGCGUAGGCGGCCCGCUAAGUCGAACGUGAAAUCCCUGGGCUCAACCCAGGAACUGCGUCCGAUACUGGCAGGCUUGAAUCCGGGAGAGGGAUGCGGAAUUCCAGGUGUAGCGGUGAAAUGCGUAGAUAUCUGGAGGAACACCGGUGGCGAAGGCGGCAUCCUGGACCGACACUGACGCUGAGGAGCGAAAGCCAGGGGAGCAAACGGG